This is a long non-coding RNA of Tyto alba (common barn owl), 856 nucleotides long. RefSeq lists it as uncharacterized. The transcript is spliced from 4 exons. The record is from RefSeq and is a predicted model, not a curated record. NCBI's taxonomy places the organism in Eukaryota, Metazoa, Chordata, Aves, Strigiformes, Tytonidae.
CAGACACCGAGCCGACGGCGUCGCCGGCGUCCUUCCACACCUGUAAAAUGUUAUUUUUUGUUUUGGUUGUUGCUGAUAUUCUCAGUGUACAGAAGGGGCCGACACUGCUGUUCCGACACAAAAAUGACCCGGUUUAGGAGGGGAAGAUGGCAGAGAUGUUUUCAUCAGGGCCUGUGUUCUGUGCAGGGGUGGAAGCAGCGGGAGGUGCAGGUAAAUCUAUGGAAGUCCUCAAAACUACAGCACCGUGAGAGCCAGGAUCACUCUCAGUGAAUGGAUGGGGAAUAAUCCUGGCUCUGUUCCUUUCAGCCGUGCUGUAGCAGCUACAUUUGAUCCUGGAAAUUUCCUCUCCAUUUGGAGACGUGAAAAGGAUUAGAAAUGUUAUGUGCCCGGUUAAAAGGUUAACUUAUAUGAUUUUGCAUGUCUGUGUUGUUUUAAAUGAAUUCACCUAAAUUUCAGAGGUGUCUCAACUAUGUGUCUCUAUUAGGCACCCGGACAGAUUGUCUCAUUGUUUUUUCUAAUUCAGAUCUGUAACUGCCAGAGUGAAUCUUCAUUCAGAUGGAUCACCCCAAACCCGCCCGCUGCUGGCAGGACCUCGGGCUGCCUCUCUGGUUGGAACAGUCCCCUGCAAGACUGACGGCUUAAUCCUGGCUUCUCCCAGCAUUCAAAAAUUGAGCUAGAGAACAAAGUGUCCAGCUGGACCCUUCCACGAUUCGGGAGGUGGCUUUGGCCAUAAGGGCUCCAACACCCGGCAGGCGGAACGUGGAUCCCUUUCCAGGCAAGCGGCGCGUGAAAACGGUGGUGAGGAAGGUUGCUGUAAGGCACACCGUGACACUCGCAGCGGUUCGGACCGUGCAGG